AACUCUCAUCACUGAAUCCAGAGGUUGGCUGUGGGGUCAUGUCAUGAUGAGGUGGUAUGUGUAGUACCAACUGUCACCAUUGCAUCUGGAAAUUGGUUGCAGAGUCAUGUGAUGAUGAGGUGGCAUGUGUAGUACCAACUGUCACCAUUGCAUCCAAAGAUUGGCUGUGGGGUCAUGUGAUGAUGAGAUACAACUGUCACCACUAAUAUCAGCUGCAUGGCAGGUAUAAAAGGUAUGAACCACCUAUGGGUCGUGAGGCUGUAACUCUGAAUACGUGUCAGAAAAACUACUGAGUACCACCCCCUGCUGACAUGUCUGACAAGAAUUUGGAACACAGAUUUGAUAUAAAGCCGAUGUAUAAUUCAUUGUGUCUUGGCCCAGCGCUAAACCUGAGAGCGCACAACAUAGAAAACCUCUCAACAUCUAAUGACAAUACAAUGCGACGUCUCGUAACCUCGGAUAAUUGCUCGUUAUAUAUGGUACAGACUGAGGAAUGUGAGGGAUUGGACGAUGUUAUAAACAUUUGAUUAACAGACGAGUAAGAAACACAAUGUACUUGGUUGGAAUGUAGAGCUGAUAUAAAUGACUGGGAUCAGAUCUGUGCUAUAUGUUGUGCUAUAUCUUCUGUCCUAAACAUAAUACGGGGGUGGGGGCUAAUACUACACUGGAGCCUAAUAAUACUACAGGGGGGCUAAUAAUACUAGAAGAAGACCUAAAGGGAGAACUAUUUCUAAGGGAGAGCUAACACUACCUGGGGCCCAGAGGUGGCCCUAACUACUAUGGGGGCACAGUGUGAGAAGUACUAUUUGCACGCUGCAAUGAUUAGAUAUUGUGACUUUAGGGAACCUUGGAAAAAUCCUGAUACACUAAGAGAGUCAUGAAUAUAAAAUGGAAACCACUGGUCAAGAUGCUUCGAAAACCAAAAAUCUCGUGGCUGGUUAUUUCCUAUUUGUAAAGAUAAGACACAGGACACAUUUUGAGAUGAUGCAAAAAGCACUUCACCAUCUCAGGAACCUCCACCACAGUUCACACUAAAAUCAUGGACUUAAAGCUAACAUUGGAUCCAGUCAAAGUCUUCAGCAGUCAGUCCCUAUCCAAAGCAAAGCAAUGAGACCCUUCAAGGUGCCAGGAUCAUGUGACUACUCAUAAAGCGAUCAUUUCUUAUUAAGAAGGAGCUACCCAGAUGCCACAAGCACAUGAAAAAAUAUUGAAUCCUUGUAAAUUCCCUGGAUAUAAAAUAACCAAAAAUGGAACAGUUACAUGCAAUUCAAUAAUGGCAAAAAAAAAA
This is a long non-coding RNA of Hyla sarda, 1288 nucleotides long. RefSeq lists it as uncharacterized. The record is from RefSeq and is a predicted model, not a curated record. The transcript has 3 exons. Lineage: Eukaryota; Metazoa; Chordata; Amphibia; Anura; Hylidae.